CACCAGACUCCUACGGGAGGCAGCAGUGGGGAAUAUUGGGCAAUGGGCGCAAGCCUGACCCAGCAACGCCGCGUGAAGGAAGAAGGCUUUCGGGUUGUAAACUUCUUUUAUCAGGGACGAAGCAAGUGACGGUACCUGCAAAGGAAGCACCGGCUAACUCCGUGCCAGCAGCCGCGGUAAUACGGAGGGUGCGAGCGUUAUCCGGAUUUACUGGGUGUAAAGGGGGCGCAGACGGCGAUGCAAGCCAGGAGUGAAAGCCCGGGGCCCAACCCCGGGACUGCUCUUGGAACUGCGUGGCUGGAGUGCAGGAGGGGCAGGCGGAAUUCCUGGUGUAGCGGUGAAAUGCGUAGAUAUCAGGAGGAACACCGGUGGCGAAGGCGGCCUGCUGGACUGCAACUGACGUUGAGGCCCGAAAGCGUGGGGAGCAAACAGGAUUAGAUACCCGUGUAA
RNAcentral lists this ribosomal RNA (450 nucleotides) under uncultured bacterium. RNAcentral's name for it is "bacterial SSU rRNA". It matches the Rfam family "Bacterial small subunit ribosomal RNA", at positions 329 to 793 of the family's 1533-position model. The record is from RNAcentral.